Long non-coding RNA from Lepus europaeus (European hare), 986 nucleotides. RefSeq lists it as uncharacterized. The transcript has 4 exons. Lineage: Eukaryota; Metazoa; Chordata; Mammalia; Lagomorpha; Leporidae. The record is from RefSeq and is a predicted model, not a curated record.
CGGGAGCGGGGGCCGGUUCCUGGUCCCCGGGAGAAGCCAAGAAGGUAUCAGAAUGGUCUGUGGGUUUGUUUUAAAGCUACAGAAAGGACAGAGCAAGAACCAAAGAAGAAAAAAGAUUCCCUGCAGCCUGCCAGAGACGUGGUAGCUGCCUUGCCAACAGCUAUCCUGGAAGGGCUAUUGAAAGAGCCGGGACUCUGCCUCACUUGACAGCCCUGCACCCAGGUUACGGAUGGAGAGGGACAGGCAAGACUGCGAAGAAAAGAGCUCUCCAGAAUGCUGGCAUUCGACACAACUGCAGCUCGGCACUCCAUCCUUGAUAAAAAUAAGUCGCCACUUCGGAACAAAAUGCUGGGUUGAUUCCUGGCCAAGCUGGGACCUCGAGCUGCAAGCUGGGGGCUGGGGACGGAGAGCCGCUACUUUCCGCAUGGGUUACUAGCAGCCCGCAAUGCCCCUCCCCUCCCCCUCCUGGAACACGCCAUCGGAGCCGGCCGGCGAGACCAAGGGAAUGUGCACUUCUCUAAUGCGCUCUGAAGGAGGCUGCUUGCCAAGAAAGCCUUUCCCAGUGGGGUGGGGGCAGGGCGCCCUGGGAUGGCCUGGCAGUGGGAAGGUUCUGCACAUGCUUACCUGACCCCUAACCUCCGAGCCAGGGGGAAGGAGGGCAUUCCCAAGGGAUCACCGCGGUGCUAGCUUACGCACCCCAGGGCUUGCUCAGGCUGGGGCAUGUGAAGCCAGGCCCAGCUCAUGGGGUGAAGCCUAGCCCCCCAAACACAGCACGUAUAUCCAUUGGGCUUGCCAGUAAACUGCGCAAACUUUAACGUCACACCAAAUGUCUCCACAACACAGUAAAAAAGGUGCAGGUAGCCAGAAAAAAAGCUUUUAAGUAAAACUUGGCUCUUGAACAUGACCUGGGAUGAAUAGAGACAACCUCUUUUUAAAUUGUAAUCAUUCCCUACCAGAUCCUUGAGUUUGAGUCCUGGCUCAGCUCA